Molecule: transfer RNA, 67 nt
Filed under: Marmota monax (woodchuck)
Lineage: Eukaryota; Metazoa; Chordata; Mammalia; Rodentia; Sciuridae
Description: tRNA.Ala
Source: RNAcentral
GGUUGUGGCUCAGUGGUAGAGUGCUUGCCUAGCACAUGUGAGGCACUGGGUUUGAUUCUCAGCACCA